Molecule: ribosomal RNA, 429 nt
Filed under: Gemmatimonadota bacterium
Lineage: Bacteria; Pseudomonadati; Gemmatimonadota
Description: Gemmatimonadetes bacterium partial 16S ribosomal RNA
Rfam family: Bacterial small subunit ribosomal RNA
Source: RNAcentral
UAGGGAAUCUUCGGCAAUGGACGAAAGUCUGACCGAGCAACGCCGCGUGAGUGAAGAAGGUUUUCGGAUCGUAAAACUCUGUUGUUAGAGAAGAACAAGGACGUUAGUAACUGAACGUCCCCCGACGGUAUCUAACCAGAAAGCCACGGCUAACUACGUGCCAGCAGCCGCGGUAAUACGUAGGUGGCAAGCGUUGUCCGGUUUUAUUGGGCGUAAAGCGAGCGCAGGCGGUUUCUUAAGACUGGUGUGAAAGCCCCCGGCUCAACCGGGGAGGGUCAUUGGAAACUGGGAGACUUGAGUUCAGAAGAGGAGAGUGGAAUUCCAUGUGUAGCGGUGAAAUGCGUAGAUAUAUGGAGGAACACCAGUGGCGAAGGCGGCUCUCUGGUCUGUAACUGACGCUGAGGCUCGAAAGCGUGGGGAGCAAACAGG